Podarcis raffonei (Aeolian wall lizard) is the source of this 452-nucleotide long non-coding RNA. RefSeq lists it as uncharacterized. Lineage: Eukaryota; Metazoa; Chordata; Lepidosauria; Squamata; Lacertidae. The record is from RefSeq and is a predicted model, not a curated record. The transcript has 3 exons.
UAUACAUGGAGGGCUCCAUACAAACCUUUAGCUGAACAUGGGUAAAAUGCAAAGAUCUACAUGACAGAUGACAAAGCCAAGCCAAAGUCUACAUGAAUGGCAUCUUUGCCAGACCCAUGACUUCUAGUGGCACCAGGGGCAUUUCUGGGGCAGGACUAGGACCAUCACUGAAGCUCUCAGCUUUGUUGUCGUUUUAAGAAUGACUUGAGCACCUGAAUCCAUCAACAUCAUCAUCAGUCACCAGUUGGAUCCUCUUUACCUUCUUGGUGAACGUGUUACCCUCACUGCAACAUGGAUUUGACAUUUGGGCCUAACUGUUAGCAUCACCAUCAGACUCAGCAGAGAAGACAAAACACUCCUUCCCAGUAAUGGAGCAGCGGAAGUUCAUUGGUCUCAAAGAGCCUCCUCCCUGAUUGCUCACCUGCCACCCUUCUCAAGCCCAGUAAACUGUA